AAGAAACACUGAGUCUUUCCUAUGUUUAUCUGACAGCCCAGAAGCUGCUGCUUCCUGACAGCGCACACUUCAAAAAACAACGCGAAGGAAUUGAAAACUCAAGUGGGAGGGGCAUUGACAACCAUUCAGGUUGUUUGAAACAGAGUGAAUAGAAUGGCACUGUGCCUUAAUAGCCAUUGAUAGACCUGGAGAAUGGCAUUUCCAGGCACACCGUGAGGAGGGCCGGGGAGAUAACUCAGCGGCAUCUGGCUGGUACCAUGGUUUCUUGGCAACGGCGUACACAGAACACGUAGCUGGGACAACCCCGGUGGAAGUCGGCUGACGUCACCGGAAGUGUCGCCCCGCAAGCCUCGGCAGACGGAAGCGCACACCGGACCCGGCUCUCCCGCGUUGUGGUGUCUCCUGCCUAUUUAGCUAAAUUGCAUCUAUAUUGUCGUUUUGUGUAUGUUUUAUUGCCUGCCUUGAAAGCAGUGCUUGUGGCACCGAAACGUCGUUCAGA
Pseudophryne corroboree (corroboree frog) is the source of this 499-nucleotide long non-coding RNA. RefSeq lists it as uncharacterized. The record is from RefSeq and is a predicted model, not a curated record. NCBI's taxonomy places the organism in Eukaryota, Metazoa, Chordata, Amphibia, Anura, Myobatrachidae. The transcript has 3 exons.